Long non-coding RNA from Gasterosteus aculeatus aculeatus (three-spined stickleback), 2713 nucleotides. The record is from Ensembl. NCBI's taxonomy places the organism in Eukaryota, Metazoa, Chordata, Actinopteri, Perciformes, Gasterosteidae.
UGGUAAUGAUUCAACAACAGGCGCUAUUCUCAUAAUGAGUUCUUCCAAGCAGUACUGUAACCUGGGGUGUGUUUAUAAGUUUAAAUCUCUCAUUCUGCUGCAGCAAACUGCACCAUAUUUCCCACUUUAGGCUGCAUGCUUAGGGACGCCCAAAUGAUGUGUCACCACCCAACCCUGCCAAUCAAUUACUACACUGUCUGAUGCAGACAGACUAAGGAGGCUUUUGUUAUUGUAAGACAAUAGCCAAAUAAUAAGCAAUAUAUUGUGUGUGGGAUUUAAGAAUUCGAGGGAGUAAGUUAGUGAGCGAGAGUCCAAUUUUAUGUUACGUGCUUUUUCUGGUACGAUGUCCUGCUACAUGAAGAAAGAGGAAAAAUAACAACCAUGUUCUGAAUACAGGGAAUAGCCGAUCCCCAGCUGACAUUGGGCGAAGGCAGGGUUCGCCCUGGACUGGUUGCCCGACUGUCACGAGGCUACCAGCGCAACACCUGGGGACAAUAGAGUCAUCUGAACGUCCCAAAGCAGGGGAGCGCACCCUGGGAGGGGCGCAUCUUCAGCACUAAAACACACACAGAAAUAUUCCAGCGUACCCAACAUGCAACAAUUGAGCCGACGUCUUCUCAGAGACCUAAAUCCAUCGUUCAUCCCGGAUCGAGCUGCUCUUGAUGGGCGGACGGCAGGACUCCGAUCGGACAAGAGGAAGUUGACUCUGGGUUUACAUCGUGAUGCCUGAUGGUCAAACGCAGUCAUGGACAAUGUUUCAUCUUUUUUUCUGUUUGGAUGUCAUAUUUUCCAUGUCGUUGUUGUGUUGCCAUUGUUUAUGCAAAUUCAAAAGAUUCCAAGCAAUACUAUUCUGUUCCGUUAGUCCUUUCCUUGGUUAGCAAGGUACAACGGCAUGGCAUUGUGUCAACAUGUGUAGCAUAGUGACCACAAAAUGUUCCUGAAUCUUGCAUAUUAAUUCACAGUGAUCACUCACACUAUUCCCAGUGGGGCCUGGAGGCCGGUUUUACUGAAGCCCUGCUACCUUGUAAUCUGCCAUCUGUUACAUGUGUAAAGACAUAGAAAGUCAUGAUGAAAGGUGCUGAAAGAGAGCAAAACUCAGAACAACUUCUCAAAUUAAAUACAUCUAAUUCUGAAAGGAUAGAAAACGUUUUCCAAAGAUGCAGCCCGUCGGCAUUCCCCAGGGAUUUAUAUUAAGAGUCUUGCUGUGAGAUUGAUUAAAUCCGGUCUACUGUCAGAUCACCAAAUAGGGACAGUUCUUCGGGUGAGGGCUGAAUGGUGAAUUUGUUGGUACACGUCUCUUUGCCGAAGGCGGCUUUUGGUGAAGUCAGAUAGGAGGAAAAAAAGAUUCCUCGAUUCAUGUUUCAUUUACUGCCUCAGUUUCAGGUCCAAACUGGUACCUUUUAAUGAAUACCUGCGGAAAAGAGGUCUAUAAAACAAAGAUGCACACAUCAGUACACAGACAUCCGCCUUCUCUGCUGUCACAACAGCGAUGUGUGUCAGUCUACUGCCGGUAUGUCGUCGGCAUGUGGGGCCGAGGACGCUGUCGUCCAGCUGGGGGGCGGCAUUCCGCUCAUACCUGGCCUUCCUCUCACUUCAAGGCACACACCUUUGGGUAUCAGCACUGGGCUGCAGGGCUGCGUGCGUGUCCAUUGUGGGUGUAUUCACAGCUUUGGUGCGGUUAGUUGAGAAUGAGAACGAUCGUUUAAUUCUGACUAAGUAUCAUCGUAUAGAGAUGCGUCAGCAACAUGCUACAUGCCACAGCAUGACUUCUACGAACCCGUUGAUGACAUGACCUGCAGCUAUGUUGAGCAACACCAAGUAUAAAGUAAGAUCAAUUGGAUAGAAAUGCAGAAUGGUAAAAACAAACAAAGUCUGUGAAUGAAAACCUGAAUCAAAGUACGAUUGACAUUAAUAAAUCCUUCUGGAACAACGUUUACAGCUUGUUAACAAAUACAGGUAACUACUACUAAAUUAACCGUUUCCAAAAAUAAUAAAACUAAAAUAUCAAGUAAUUACAAUAAUUAGAGAAACAGUUCUGGUCGUCAACUUCCUUUUAUUUUUAUGGUGCAAAACCAUAGUUUGAACUUGAAGAUAUUGAUUCAAAUAGCAAAGCUGUCAAUGGUGCAUUACUGUCUUUAUCAUUGAAGCCUAAAACAAGGGCCUCAGCGCUGUAAGGGCCCCAGGGCCCAAACCUACUUCUGUGAACCAACAGGAACAAGUUGCUGCAGAGACGGACUACUCUGAAUAUUAGGCGUGUGUGUAAUUAUAUAUAUAUAUACACACACACACACACACACACACACAUAUGUAUAUAGGUCAGAAGUGCGUUCUUAAUGGCGGCACCAACCCGAGGACCUCACAGGUCUCAUGCAGAGUGCAGAGCAGCAGAUGAGUCUUAUUCCGUUGGAUGGGUCCCACACGCAGAAAGAAAACUGAGGAAUAUGUUACAAUGUUAAUUACUAGUUCUAAAUAUGUGGUUUUUAUUUGAUUACUUACGGAGUCCUCAGUGUGUGUGACUCGAGCUGCUUCAGAGAACCAGUUGGUUUGGAAAUAAAGUUUGGAUACAGAUGUGUGCUUGAGUCAUAUCAAACAGUUCGAGAUUUCCUAGAAUUAUCAAAUUGCUCGGUGUGUAAUUACAGCGUUUUGUAAACUUUCGCCAGCAUGAAUGACGUCGUUGAUUUUUGGACUGCUGGACUUGAUUUUCUUCAACAAA